RNAcentral lists this transfer RNA (69 nucleotides) under Marmota marmota marmota (Alpine marmot). It matches the Rfam family "tRNA". From Rfam's summary of the family: Transfer RNA (tRNA) molecules are approximately 80 nucleotides in length. Their secondary structure includes four short double-helical elements and three loops (D, anti-codon, and T loops). RNAcentral also lists the same sequence under 2 other names. Lineage: Eukaryota; Metazoa; Chordata; Mammalia; Rodentia; Sciuridae. The record is from Rfam by way of RNAcentral.
GGGGUUGUGGCUCAGUGGUAGAGCACUCACCUAGCAAGUGCAAGGCCCUGGGUUCGAUCCACAGCACCA